UGGGCGCAGGCGCAGAGCGGGGUCGGGGCCCGGGAGGCGGAGAAACCCUAAGGGAUCGGCAGGCCCGGCCUCCCGCCCCGGUGGGCGCGGGCGCACGGAUAGGGGCAGCGGGACACCCCACCCGGGAGGCCAGCUGGGCCCCGGAGUUAGAUCGACGUGAGACAGGCGGGAGAACAGGUUUAUUUGACACAAGUUUCCGCGGCACCGGGACCCUCGUGAGGAAUGACGCCGGUGGAGCAAUUAGUCGCCUCCCUGCCAGGCGGAUGAGGAAUGCUAAGUAGGUUCAAUCCAAGGUAGUCAGUAUGCCAGGCCAGCCUAUUUUGGGGUGGCAUCUUCUCCACUCCCUCACGCGCUGUACACGCAUGGCACACACGCUGUAAAAGGGUUCUCCAGGCAAGCACCACCCUGAGAAAUGACCCCCGGGAAGGAUGCUCAGGGCUUUCAUUCUUGGCACGCCCUGCGAGAGUCGAGAGUCACGGAGCACUACAGACCCUUGGAGGUUGGCCUUCUUAAGGGGCCACAGCGAGUGUGAGAGGCCAUGAGACCUCACACCGUUUUGGGCUGCCCGGGAUCGAAGGCUUGAAAACGGUUGUUUCAUUUAACUUGUCCACUCUGUAGCUGCUGAAGGAGGGAGGGUGUCUUGGUACAUUCAGGCUACUGUAAGAAAGUAUCAUAGACUGGGUGGUUCAUAAACAACAGAAAUUUGUAUCUCCCAGUUCUGAAGGCUGGGAAGUUCAAGAUCAAGGUGCCAGCAAACCUGGUGUCUGGUUCCUGGUUCGUAGCUAGCGGGCACCUUGCUGUGUCCUCACCUGGUGGAAGGGGUGAGGGUCUCUCCGGAGCACUAAUCUCAUUCGUGAGGACUCCGCCCUCACAACCUAACCACUUCCCAGAGCCCCCCCUCCUAAUUCCAUCACACUGGGGGUUCCAGCAUGUGGAUUUGGGGGUGGGGACACAGGGUAAAUGGCUAUGAGGGCCAUGACCACCUGCAGCAGCAGUUCUGUGGGGCUUCUUGAAUGUGGGCUGGUGUCUUUUAUCAGUUUGGGGACAUUUUCUACCAUUAUCUUAAAAGAGUGCCUCUCUGUGUCCCUCCUCUAACUCUGAGAAGCCAAAUACACACAUAUUAGAUCUUUUAACUAGUAAAUCUUGGCCCGUCCCGUGAGUGUCUUGUUCUCUGUUGUGUUUCUGUUUUCUGCCCACAACUGUUUCCGUGCCUGCUGGCAUCUUUCCCGUUGGCCUGUCCCCCCUCUGCUGUCACCUGUCACCAGGCCCAGUCUGCUGUAAACUCGUCUAAUGAAGUUAAUCAGCGGUGCUAGGAUGUCUUUCUGAUUCUUUCUUAUAGGUUCCAAUUAGCUGUGAAGUUCUCCUUCUGCAGAUCUCUUUCAUGCUGCUUUUCCUCUGUUUUUAGUCACACGUUAACCACGGUUAUUUAAAGAUACUUGUCUACCCGUAUCUUGACAUCUGCAGUUGUGCUUCCGUUGCCUGUUUUCUCCAGAUAAUCGCAAACACCUCCCCACCUCCUCUCCUGACUGCAUCUCUGCUCUUGCCUGGGACCCUGCAAACAUCAGGGAGGUCUGCUGAGGACACAGAAACACGCGUGUGAGCCCAAAGAGGUAGUUGUCAAGGUGUGGGGAGCUCUCAGGGCUCCUUUGGGUGCUGGGUCUGGCACCACCCAACUGGAUGACAUUGGGUAAUCACCUACCUUGCCUGAGCCUCAGUUUCCUCGAAAACUAGAACCUGGUGGCCAGGUUGUGCACUGCACAUUCUGUCCUCAGCCGCUCGGAGCACAUGCUCCUCCCUCCUAGGCAGCAGGAACCACAGCCCCCUGCAGCCUGGAGGAUGCCAAGGGCUCUAGCUCCGUCCACAUGGCCCUUGGCCCCUGCCAUCCUGCCCAUCCCCUGCCGCGAGGCCUGAGAUGUCGCCAUCGGAAGCAAGCCUCAGGGACGCCAACAAAGUGGGCAGACUCCAAAGGACGCCCGGGUUUCCCCAAGCCCCACCCUAUGCACAAAAAUGUGAUUUCACCAAUUCUCUAUCAUCCUACUGAACGACACUUACUGAAUGGAACCAUUGCCUUAGUUUCCCAAUUCUGCCUCAGCGUCUGUUGAAAUGAGUUUAGGAUCCCCCCGAUGUCAGGUAUUUAGAGUGCACGCCCGUAUACGCCUGGGCACAGGGUCCCAGAGAGCAUCAGCCGUUGACGUAAAACAGAGGACUCGGUCCGGCUGCAGGGUUCUCUGUGCUCCGUGCAUAGGUCUUCCCUCUCCACCCCCGCAAGGAAAGCGUGGCCAUCUCCGGUGUCCCAGGGCUACAGGCUGCUGCAGACCUCUGGGGAAGAGAUGUUCGAGGCUGGCGCCUGCCCCGCCCCAUACAGGCCUGGGCCCCGAGUCUGCCAUCUGGCUCAGCAGAUGAGGAGUUCGCUGACGGCGCUUUGCUUCCAGUUGGAAACUGCCUGUCCUGAACCUGCCGUUCCUCUCCUGGAAGCAUCGGCAGUGCUCAUGUCCUGGACGUGGCUUAGUGGCACCAGCACCAGUGGUCUCAGGUCAGGUUCCCUCUAAGCAGGUUGGGUUCGGAGCCUCGAGGUGACAAUGAUGAAUGAAUAUCAAAAAAUCAAACUCAUGUCCCACCUGCUUGGCAGACCUGUGAACAUCCAAACUUCAGAGUAGCGUGACGUGACCUGGUCGGUGUGGGAGGUGUCCCCUGGCUGCAGUGAGGAGCCAGUGCCUCUCCACCCAGGGGACGUCAGGACAGAGACAGUGGGAGGCACCUCCUCAGCUCCGGGAACGCGUCACACACGGGCUUGGAGGGGUCGGCCCUCCGCUGUCUCCUCAAACGUCCUCUCCUUACAAAGCUGGCCGGGGGGGGGGGGGUCUCCAAAUUUGGCAGAACUCAACCCAUAACGCACAGCAUUUGGAUAUAGUUCACUGUUGUUUUCUUUUACGUUUUUUUAAAUUAUUUUUUUAAUUGUGGUAAAGUAUACAUAACAUAAAAUUUACUAUUUGAAGCACUUUUCAGUGCACAGUGCAGUGGCAUUAAGCACGUUCACAUUGCUGCAGCCGUCACCAGCAGCGUCUCCGGAACUUUCUCAUCUUCCCAGACAGAAACCGUCUCCAUUAAACACUAACUCCCCAUCCCCGCCCCGGUGACCCCCAUU
Lemur catta (Ring-tailed lemur) is the source of this 3145-nucleotide long non-coding RNA. RefSeq lists it as uncharacterized. The record is from RefSeq and is a predicted model, not a curated record. The transcript has 3 exons. NCBI's taxonomy places the organism in Eukaryota, Metazoa, Chordata, Mammalia, Primates, Lemuridae.